This 312-nucleotide ribosomal RNA is filed under the name Salmonella enterica subsp. enterica serovar Heidelberg. RNAcentral's name for it is "bacterial LSU rRNA". It matches the Rfam family "Bacterial large subunit ribosomal RNA", at positions 1521 to 1811 of the family's 2925-position model. The record is from RNAcentral. Lineage: Bacteria; Pseudomonadati; Pseudomonadota; Gammaproteobacteria; Enterobacterales; Enterobacteriaceae.
UAGGUGUGUGUUCCAGGUAAAUCCGGUUCACUUUAACACUGAGGCGUGAUGACGAGGCACUACGGUGCUGAAGCAACAAAUGCCCUGCUUCCAGGAAAAGCCUCUAAGCAUCAGGUAACAUCAAAUCGUACCCCAAACCGACACAGGUGGUCAGGUAGAGAAUACCAAGGCGCUUGAGAGAACUCGGGUGAAGGAACUAGGCAAAAUGGUGCCGUAACUUCGGGAGAAGGCACGCUGACACGUAGGUGAAGUGAUUUACUCACGGAGCUGAAGUCAGUCGAAGAUACCAGCUGGCUGCAACUGUUUAUUAAA